RNAcentral lists this transfer RNA (26 nucleotides) under Agama lebretoni. Its description in RNAcentral is "partial tRNA-Leu". Lineage: Eukaryota; Metazoa; Chordata; Lepidosauria; Squamata; Agamidae. The record is from RNAcentral.
ACUUUUAAUGGACAAAAGUGUUCCAA